This 2072-nucleotide long non-coding RNA is filed under the name Homo sapiens (human). Its description in RNAcentral is "HSALNT0254164". The record is from RNAcentral. Lineage: Eukaryota; Metazoa; Chordata; Mammalia; Primates; Hominidae.
CCACUCUGCAGCCCGGGAAGCUGAGGUGCAGCCAAGCUCUGCACAGAGGCUCACACGGCAGCCUCUGCAGACACGCACACCAGCCCCCACGGGAGCGUCUCCGGGCUCUUUUGCUUUCACUUCCCUCCUCACAGACGAGAACAGAGAAGCCGCCCAGGCAGGAAGCCAGGCGCCCACAGGUUGGCAGGAAGAGCACUUAGUCAAAAACCUGUGGGCUCGGGGGCCACACCUCACAACCUGCACCAUCAGAUUCGCACACAAACAAACGGACUCAUCCAAUUACUAGGAGACCGCCAGGCGCCAUGGGUCACACCUGUACUCCCAGUGCUUUGGGAGGCCGAGGCAGGAGGAUCACUUGAGGCCAGGAGUUUGAGACCAGCCUGGUCAACAUAGUGAGACCCCAUCUCUACAAAAAAAUUAAAAAAUUUAGCCAGACGUGGUGGCGCACACCUGUGGUCCUAGCUACUCGAGACCAGCCUGGCCAACAUGAUGAAACCCCAUCUCUACCAAAGAUAUAAAAAUUAGCCAAGCACGGUGUCUUAUGCCUAUAAUUCCAGCACUUUGGAAGGACAAGGUGGGCAGAUUACCUGAGGUCAGGAGUUCGAGACCAGCCUGGCCAAGGUGGUGAAACCCCAUCUCUACUAAAAAUACAAAAAUUAGCCAGGCAUGUUGGCUGGCGCCUGUAAUCCCAGCUACUUGGGAGGCUGAGGCAGAAGAAUCGCUUGAGCCCAGGAGAUGGAGGUUGCAGUGAGCUGAGAUCGAUCCACUGCACUGCAGCCUGGGCAACAGAGUGAGGCUCUUGUCUCAAAAAAAAAAAAAAAAAAAAAAAAAAAAAAGACUACUGCCAACAAUCACAGGUUUCUACCUGGCAAAAUAGGCCACAGGUAAAAAUCAAAAGUCAAACAGUAAAUUGUGGGAGGGGAAUGGGGGGAGUCUAAAACUCACAUGAUUAAGGCCUAAGUUCUCUAAUAUGUAAAAAGCUCUGACAAAUCAAUGAUAAGCCACUGUCCAGUACAAAGUAAGCAAAGGAUAAGAACUAAGCAAAGGUUAAGAACUGAGGGUUCACAGAAGAGGAAAAGCAGGGCUGUGGCCUGGGAGGGUAGCUCAUACACGCACGCCCCUUGACCCAGCAGUUCUAUUUUGGGCACUGAUCCCUCAGGCAUCCUUGAGACAGGGGCACAAGCUUGUCAUAGCAAUGGUGUUCGUAACAGCAACAGCUCAGCCACUCCCAAGACGUCCAUGAAAUAACCUACUCAAUCUCCUCAGCUGAGCCCUGCACAGCCGAAAAAAGGGGUUCAGGCUGCUUCAUGCUGACUGAUAUCGGGUGAGCCUCUCUAUAUGGAGGUGAGGAUAAAAAUCAGGAGCAGAACAGGGCAUGAGGUGAGCUGUCCUCGUGUGUACAAAACAGGGCAGAUAUGUGUUUGCCGGUAUGUGCUGGAAGGAGCUAGGAGGGUGCGUUUCACUGCAGACCGUGUUAACACAGCUAAAAAGCAAACAAAAACUGGGCAACAUAGUGAGUAUACAAAAAAUACAAAAAAAUGAACUGGGUGUGAUGGCUGGUGCCUGUAGACCCAGGAACUCAGGAGGCUGAGGUGGGAGGAUCAUUGCAGCCCAAGAAGGCAAGUCUGCAGUGAGGUAUGAUUGCGUCACUGCAGUCCAGCCUGGGUGACAGAGCGAGACCUUAUCUCAAAACAAGCAAAGAAACAAACAAAAAGGCGCCGGCGUCUUUGAAAUAACCCAAAAGCGAAGUGGGAAGAGAAUACAGGCAGGAGGCCGGGUGGGUGCGGUGGCUCACGUCUGUAAUCUCAGCACUUUGGGAGGCCGACGCGGGUGGAUCACCUGAGGUCAGGAGUUCGAGACCAGCCUGACCACUAUGGUGAAACCCCGUCUCUACUAAAAAUACAAAAAUUAGCCAGGUGUGGUGGCGUGCUUCUGUAAUCCCAGCUACUCGGGACGCUGCGACAGGAGAAUUGUUUGAACCAGGGAGAUGGAGGUUGCAGUGAAAGCCUAGAUGGUGCCAUGGCACUCCAGCCUGCAGCCUGGGCGACAGAGCGAGACUCCGUAUCAAAAAA